Molecule: long non-coding RNA, 530 nt
Organism: Dermacentor andersoni
Lineage: Eukaryota; Metazoa; Arthropoda; Arachnida; Ixodida; Ixodidae
Source: RefSeq, a predicted model, not a curated record
GCAACAUUGGGGCUGCUGGCGACAGUGUUUGUCAUUGUGCCAGACUGGUACUCGUUGCUGAAAGAAAAUAAUUCUUACAAGCAUUGUUUCCAUUUCGUUUUAUGUCAGCCUGCCAACACCACAUAUCACCACUCCAAGGAUAAUGCUCAUGACCAUGGCUCUCACAUGCUUUGAGAUAAACUGCCAUUCAGAGGUAAGCAAGGUACCACUGUAAUAUAACUGAAAUGUUUUGGGGCAAGUGAAAAAAAAAAAAAUUUAGUGUAACGCAUUUGUCGAGUUCCAGUAUGUCUUUAUUUAGAUUAAAUAAAACAGUACAAGAACUGACAUUUGUAAUCAUGGAACACUGCUCUCACUCUUAACACUAAUACUCUCAAUGCAUCAUGUAACUUUCACUUUGUUAGCUAAGGUGUGAAUCUGUCAAACUUUUUUUGUGUGGUCUGAAUGCAAUGCCAUAAAAACCUACUGCUGCUAAUCUUUUCAUUCUUUUGCCAUUUCUUGCAGAAAAGUUUGCAUGCCAGCAUCAGCAGACU